AUGUUUAACAUAAAACCGUUUAACUUAAAAAGUUUUUUUACCUAUUUUUAUUUUCUAGUUUUUAGUUUUUAUUUCGCAUUCUGUUUAAUUCAUUUAGUGCUUCAUUAUUGCAAGGUUCCUUGCCCAUUAAUCGGUUGACAGGAAGAGGGUGAAAUUUGAAUUACUAAAUUUGACCCAAGAAUAAAACAAACGGGGUGAGCUAAAUAAAACCGUUUAAAAA
Long non-coding RNA from Pieris napi, 220 nucleotides. RefSeq lists it as uncharacterized. Lineage: Eukaryota; Metazoa; Arthropoda; Insecta; Lepidoptera; Pieridae. The record is from RefSeq and is a predicted model, not a curated record. The transcript is spliced from 2 exons.